UACAGAGGGUGCGAGCGUUGUCCGGAAUCACUGGGCGUAAAGGGCGCGUAGGUGGUGACCUAAGCGUGCGGUGAAAGCCCGAGGCUCAACCUCGGGUCGGCCGUGCGAACUGGGUCACUGGAGCAGAAUAGAGGCAGGUGGAAUUCCGGGUGUAGCGGUGGAAUGCGUAGAGAUCCGGAGGAAGACCGGUGGCGAAGGCGGCCUGCUGGGCAGAUACUGACACUGAGGCGCGACAGCGUGGGGAGCAAACAGG
RNAcentral lists this ribosomal RNA (253 nucleotides) under uncultured bacterium. Its description in RNAcentral is "partial 16S ribosomal RNA". It matches the Rfam family "Bacterial small subunit ribosomal RNA", at positions 524 to 776 of the family's 1533-position model. The record is from RNAcentral.